UAACGAAUCUUCCGCAAUGCACGCAAGUGUGACGGAGCGACGCCGCGUGUGGGACGAAGCCCUUCGGGGUGUAAACCACUGUCAGGGGUAGGAAAGUUCUGAUCCACCCCAGAGGAAGGCACGGCUAACUCUGUGCCAGCAGCCGCGGUAAGACAGAGGUGCCGAGCGUUAGGCGGAAUCACUGGGCUUAAAGCGUGUGUAGGCGGCCCGUUAAGUACCUUGUGAAAUCCCGCGGCUCAACCGCGGAACGGCUGGGUAUACUGGCGGGCUUGAGCGGCCUAGGGGCAGAUGGAACAAGUGGUGGAGCGGUGAAAUGCGUAGAUAUCACUUGGAACGCCAAAGGUGAAGACAGUCUGCUGGGGGCCUGCUGACGCUGAGACACGAAAGCCAGGGGAGCGAACGGGAUUAGAUACCCCUGUAGUCC
RNAcentral lists this ribosomal RNA (424 nucleotides) under uncultured bacterium. RNAcentral describes it as "bacterial SSU rRNA". It matches the Rfam family "Bacterial small subunit ribosomal RNA", at positions 355 to 796 of the family's 1533-position model. The record is from RNAcentral.